CCUUGUACACACCGCCCGUCAAGUCAUGGGAGUUGGGAGUACCCGAAGUCCGCUUUAGCUAACGCAAGAGGCGGCGGCCGACGGUAAGCUCGAUGACUGGGACU
This 104-nucleotide ribosomal RNA is filed under the name uncultured bacterium. RNAcentral's name for it is "partial 16S ribosomal RNA". It matches the Rfam family "Bacterial small subunit ribosomal RNA", at positions 1379 to 1482 of the family's 1533-position model. The record is from RNAcentral.